Molecule: long non-coding RNA, 1758 nt
Organism: Poeciliopsis prolifica (blackstripe livebearer)
Lineage: Eukaryota; Metazoa; Chordata; Actinopteri; Cyprinodontiformes; Poeciliidae
Exons: 2
Source: RefSeq, a predicted model, not a curated record
AUGCCGCUCACUCCGCCUCGCCUUCAGCCAGACCAGCUUCAGCCAGAGGAGGCAGACACCUCUAUGUACAUGCUGUUCUUGAUCAUGUCCUGUGCGCUGCUGGGAAAGGCCCGAGCCACUCGAAUGCCCUCCCAGUGGUUUCCACUUGCACUGAAGCCAACUUCCUCCUGUGUGGACAUACCUUAUUUAGGACCCAGGUGGUUAUUGCUUUGCCUUCCCAGAUUACCUUUUGCCACCACCACUGUUGGGGAUGGAGGAGGGUUGGUGAAACAUUUUCAGCUAGAAAACAUCCUUCCCUGCAGGUACACACACACACACACCUCCAGGGAAUACAGUCUGACACAGGAUCGGUUUCUAUUUCAUUUGCCCACAGAUCUUGGGUAUUACUUGAGGUUCGUGGUCAAAAAAAUGAAUUUGAACACAAGUGAAUAUAAAAAAAUGUCUAAUAAAAAGGAUAUAGGCAUGUAUCUCUUCUCAAAGAAAAAUAACACUGCAUAUGUGAAGGAAAUGCACACAAGACACACAACAGUUUGACCAAUCAGGAUAUUAGGAGGAUUUGUCCUAAAGUCCUAAAUGCUUUGAAACAGUUUAUAAAUCUGAAUUAUAGUGUAUGAAUUUCAAUAGUAUUGACUGAAACAUUUUUAUAAUUGUUAUUAGGGCACACGGUGCCUUGGAGAAGUAUUCAUACUCUUGGAACUUUUCCACUUUUUGUCAGAGUACAACCACAAACUCCACACUCAAUGCAAAGUAGCACAUAACUGCAGAGAGGAAGGAAAAUGAUUGUUAUAAAUACAUAGCUGAAGAUGUGGAGUGGAUAGCAUUCAGUCCUCUGUGUAAAAUCAUGUGCAGUUUGAUAAGGUUUGGUCUUUCAUUAGGCUUGUCAAACAUGUGACUACGUGUAUUCUAUGUGCGUAUGAUUAAGACCGUUCCUGUGAUGGACUGUUGACCUGUCCAGGGUGUACCCCGCCUCUCGCCCGUUGACAGCUGGAGAUAAGCACCAGGACCCGUCCCCCCCCUAAUGGGAUACCUCAUCUCAUCAACUCAAACGCCUUGUUUCCACACAGCGGUGCAUCCAUGCCCUAUUGUCUGUUUCCAAAAUAAAGGUGUCCCACAACACACCAUUCGUUGACCAUCGGCAGUUGUUGGACCAUCGGCAUAUUUAGGACAGAGACACAGGCUCCUAAAUAUGUUGGACUAUAAAAAAGUGUUCAGAACUCAGUGGAAAUGAUCCAUAAGUAAUUUCCCUUUUCUUAAUGAAAAAAAAGCCUCAUCAUUGAAGUUUGUGGUUGAAACCUUACAAAAUAUGAAAAAUUCAGUGAGUACAAAUCCAUUUACAAUGCACUGCACAUUAAUUAGCUUUAUUCUACAGCACCAUGCGGCACAUUGCAAGUUCUGGAAGGUCAAACUGUGGGUGUGAAGACAGCACAAGAACCAGGCACAUCGGGCCCAGAGCAAGGAACAGAAGAAGCAUCUCAACAAACCCAGGCCUGUGGCUCUACAUCGGAAAUGUAUUUUUUUUUUUAAACAAGGAUCUUGGUAAAAAUAGACAAUCCUUAAAAAAGUCUUCAGUAAGGGGUCCAAAAAGAUAUCAAUACAUUUCUCUGUAAGCACACAAGGCCCAAAGCUUUACACAGGAGGGGAACUGUGAAAGGCUCUUGCUCUUUGAAAAUCAAGCAUCAUCAAAGUACAAGGCAUUGUGCAAAUACAUGCUCCCACAUGUAAAUGAAUGGUACUCAUAAAUAAAAAGGUAAACUGAAA